Corticium candelabrum is the source of this 360-nucleotide long non-coding RNA. RefSeq lists it as uncharacterized. The record is from RefSeq and is a predicted model, not a curated record. NCBI's taxonomy places the organism in Eukaryota, Metazoa, Porifera, Homoscleromorpha, Homosclerophorida, Plakinidae. The transcript is spliced from 4 exons.
ACACUUGGUGAAGCGGGGUGACACUUGGUGAAGCGGGGUGACACUUAGUGAAGUGGAGUGACACUUGGUGAAGCGGGGUGACACUUGGUGAAGCGGGGUGACACUUGGUGAAGCGGGGUGACACUUAGUGAAUUGCAGACCUGCUAAACGAAGUCGUUGGAUUACUUUCCCGCAAGUCUACUAACCAGUGGAAGUAAGGAAACGUGAUGUUAAUUACUAUCAGUACCUUGAGCUGCACUAUCAAAGGUCAAGCGAAACACAAUAUUCUGUGAAGCGCAAGCGCAGUCUACUUACUACAACGUCAUCUAACGUGACGACUCAAGUUUACAAGUGUACUCUAGAGAUCUGUAGUUAUACGGC